RNAcentral lists this non-coding RNA (21 nucleotides) under Arabidopsis thaliana (thale cress). Lineage: Eukaryota; Viridiplantae; Streptophyta; Magnoliopsida; Brassicales; Brassicaceae. The record is from RNAcentral.
CCAUAAACUGCCGUUGUUGUG